UGGCGACCGGCGCACGGGUGAGUAACGCGUAUCCAACCUGCCCUUUACUAUGGGACAGCCCGUCGAAAGGCGGAUUAAUACCGUAUGUUGUCAUGUUGAUGCAUAUUUUACAUGACCAAAGGCUUCGGCCGGUAAAGGAUGGGGAUGCGUCUGAUUAGCUUGCCGGCGGGGUAACGGCCCACCGGGGCGACGAUCAGUAGGGGUUCUGAGAGGAAGGUCCCCCACAUUGGAACUGAGACACGGUCCAAACUCCUACGGAAGGCAGCAG
Molecule: ribosomal RNA, 268 nt
Filed under: uncultured bacterium
Lineage: Bacteria
Description: partial 16S ribosomal RNA
Rfam family: Bacterial small subunit ribosomal RNA
Source: RNAcentral